CCCAUUUGAAGUAAGUAGUUUUCGUAUCCAAUUUUAAUUGUUUGUAUUAUUUAAAAUUAUUUUAAAAAAUAAGACACUUUAAGUCACAUAUAAAGUAAUAUUCAUGUUUUACGAUCCAAUAAUUAUAAAAUAGUUUAAAAUAAGACGGACGAUCAAAUUUAGACACCGAAACUCAUGACUGCGUUUAAA
Molecule: non-coding RNA, 189 nt
Organism: Oryza glaberrima (African rice)
Lineage: Eukaryota; Viridiplantae; Streptophyta; Magnoliopsida; Poales; Poaceae
Source: Rfam